RNAcentral lists this ribosomal RNA (368 nucleotides) under uncultured organism. RNAcentral describes it as "bacterial SSU rRNA". It matches the Rfam family "Bacterial small subunit ribosomal RNA", at positions 526 to 896 of the family's 1533-position model. The record is from RNAcentral.
CGAAGGAUGCAAGCGUUAUCCGGAUUUAUUGGGUUUAAAGGGAGCGUAGGCGGUCUUAUAAGUCAGUGGUGAAAUCUCGUUGCUUAACAACGACCGUGCCAUUGAUACUGUAGGACUUGAGUACAGUUGCCGUUGGCGGAAUGUGUCAUGUAGCGGUGAAAUGCGUAGAUAUGACACAGAACACCGAUUGCGAAGGCAGCUGACGAAACUGUAACUGACGCUGAGGCUCGAAAGCGUGGGGAUCAAACAGGAUUAGAUACCCUGGUAGUCCACGCCCUAAACUAUGAUUACUCGCUGUCGGCGAUAUACAGUCGGUAGCUAAGCGAAAGCGUUAAGUAAUCCACCUGGGGAGUACGCCCGCAAGGGUG